UUCGUUACGAACCUCUUUGAUGUCGCUAUUACACACAUUCUUUUGGACUUCUUUUUGAAUUACAGUUUCCUUCUCGACAUCUUUUCCAUCACUCUUCUCUGUAAUAUUCUUCUUCUCCACAGAUGUCACUUUCGUGCUUUCCUGUGAAGGUAGAAGUUCUUCUUUCUCUUUCACAACAACAUCAUUCGUUAUAUUGCUGGCCAGAAUCUCCUUUCUUUGCUCUGUUCGUUCUGCCUUCUCAAGUCCAUCAUCCUUCUCUGUAACAUUCCUCUCCUUCACAGAUGUCACAUUAGUGCUUUCCUGUGAAGGUAGAAGUUCUUCUUUCUCUUUCACAACAUCAUUCGUUAUAUUGCUGGGCAGAUUCUCCUUUAUUUGCUCUGUUCGUUUUGAUUCGGUUUUGUUUGUACCUUUGUCGUCCGCCCCUACUUUUGGAACGAUUAGAUUUGCGUCUUUAUCGUCCUUCGGCUUUUCUUCAGUUCUAUUGGUAAGAGGCUGUACUAUUAAUUCCUUCUUAACAACAACUUCCUCCUUUAUUUCAUUACCCUCUUCGUCCAUUACCUUUCUAACGUCCACCGUUUGUGCAAUGCUCCUGUUGUCUGGAGUCUGUACCGUCACUGUUUCACUCUCGGUCACAGAUUUUUCACCCCGUUGUUUACCGUCCUCAUCUACAUCAGUCGUGGUUUCCGAAGUCUUUGAUACAGUUCCGUUGGGUUUUACGUCAGUUUCCGUCGUCUUCUCAACAACUGUCUUUUUUCCGGUUUCUUGCCCCGUUUCAUCGGUAUUAUUAAAGACUUUCCUUUCUAUGGUCUUGGCGGUGUCAGUAGAGGCUAUUUCUGAGGCUGUUUUCAUUGGAUCAGUAAUCUUGGGUGAUUCUUUAAGUGUCCCCUUGUAAAGAAUCCGGUAUUCUUCCAGGGCGGCGAUAACCUCUGCCACACAAGAGGGCCCCACCUCAGGGAGCCCCUGCAGACCCGGUAACCCGGAGCUCUCCACCUGAGCCCCGGCCACCACCACCAUGAAGA
This is a long non-coding RNA of Eriocheir sinensis (Chinese mitten crab), 1019 nucleotides long. RefSeq lists it as uncharacterized. Lineage: Eukaryota; Metazoa; Arthropoda; Malacostraca; Decapoda; Varunidae. The transcript has 2 exons. The record is from RefSeq and is a predicted model, not a curated record.